UACGGAGGGCGCAAGCGUUGUUCGGAAUCACUGGGCGUAAAGCGCGUGUAGGCGGCUUGGUAAGUCGGGUGUGAAAGCCCGGGGCCUAACACCGGAUCUGCACUCUAAACUGCCUCGCUCGAGUCCCGGAGAGGAUGGUGGAAUUCCCGGUGUAGUGGUGAAAUACGUAGAUAUCGGGAGGAACACCAGCGGCGAAGGCGGCCAUCUGGACGGUGACUGACGCUGAGACGCGAAAGCGUGGGGAGCACACAGG
RNAcentral lists this ribosomal RNA (253 nucleotides) under uncultured bacterium. RNAcentral describes it as "partial 16S ribosomal RNA". It matches the Rfam family "Bacterial small subunit ribosomal RNA", at positions 524 to 776 of the family's 1533-position model. The record is from RNAcentral.